This is a long non-coding RNA of Patella vulgata (common limpet), 263 nucleotides long. RefSeq lists it as uncharacterized. The transcript has 3 exons. The record is from RefSeq and is a predicted model, not a curated record. NCBI's taxonomy places the organism in Eukaryota, Metazoa, Mollusca, Gastropoda, Patellidae.
ACUUCCGUUUCCACCCUUUCCCUGCACACUGUUCCAUUCUACUUAGCCUACAGACGCUAGGUCGUUUCGGGAAAAAGGACAGUUACCCACCUCGGAAGAUCAAGACAGUUGGAAAGGGCUAUUGAUAUUGUGGAAGCGUUUUCUCACAGAUGUUGCUUAUCAGACAAAGGCUAUUUAACUACAUCAGAAAGAUAAAAACAGUUGGAAAUGGCUAUUCAUAUUGUGGAAACUUUUCUCACAGAGCUUGAUAAUCAGGCAAAUUG